AGAGGCUUAGGAUAAUAAGACCAAGAGCCUUCAAAGCCCUAAGUGAGAGUGAAAAUCUCCCAGCCUCUG
This 69-nucleotide transfer RNA is filed under the name Ameca splendens. RNAcentral describes it as "tRNA-Trp". It matches the Rfam family "tRNA". Rfam says of the family: Transfer RNA (tRNA) molecules are approximately 80 nucleotides in length. Their secondary structure includes four short double-helical elements and three loops (D, anti-codon, and T loops). Further hydrogen bonds mediate the characteristic L-shaped molecular structure. tRNAs have two regions of fundamental functional importance: the anti-codon, which is responsible for specific mRNA codon recognition, and the 3' end, to which the tRNAs corresponding amino acid is attached (by aminoacyl-tRNA synthetases). tRNAs cope with the degeneracy of the genetic code in two manners: having more than one tRNA (with a specific anti-codon) for a particular amino acid; and 'wobble' base-pairing, i.e. permitting non-standard base-pairing at the 3rd anti-codon position. Lineage: Eukaryota; Metazoa; Chordata; Actinopteri; Cyprinodontiformes; Goodeidae. The record is from RNAcentral.